CACUGAUUAAGAUUUUUCACCAUUUUUUGACAUUGUAUAGACCAAACAACUAAUCGAUUAAUCGAGAAAAUAAUCGGCAGAUUAAUUGACAAUGAAAAUAAACGUUAGUUGCAGCCCUAAUUUAAAAUCAAUCACACAGACACGAUAUCGGUAAAAAUUAAUCUUAAGAAAGAUUGAAGGUGAAGAACUAAUUUGGUAAUUGAUUAAACCAAAUUUCAUUGGUUCUCCAGCUCCUCACUUUUGAGGAUUUGCUGUUUUUUAUUUGAUAGUGAACUAUAUAUGUUUGGGUUUUUCACAAACAAUUGAGCAGAUUAAUUGAUAAUGAAAAUACUAAUUCAUUGCAGCCCUAUAUUUGCCCUAUAGUUUGGCUUACCAAAACGUUCUGUUUGCAAGUCCCUUCAGAACGAAAACUUCCCCCUUCCUCACUCUGGUUCUUCUUGAGUCAGCCAACUCUGAAUCACAGCCUCAGUCUGUCUUUGUUUUAAUAAAAACAAAAAAAUCUAAACAUAAGUCUCACACUGCAAAUCACUGAACGUCACGAUCAAGGGAUACGACUCUGCCUCCACUUUCACAUAUUCAAACCGUAUCUGACAUCUUUUUAAACUGUGCAUUUCAUGUGGGAGGUGAACGUCGUUCUCUCUGAUGCUGCUGUUCAGAUUAAAUGGCACCAAAUACCCCAAACAGAACAGACUCAGACAGUUUGAGACCUGAGACAGACGACGAGAAGCCGUUGGAUCGGAUUUUAGUAGCCUAGAGACGACUUUCAAAUCACAGCAGGUCUCUUUUAGAAUAGUCAUUAGUUUCUCUACAUUUCAAACACAUAUAAAGGUCUUACAGUUGUAUUUUAGACUGCAGGAUCGUUUUUAUACACAUCAUUGGUUUUGUCACUUUUUUAAAACCUUUUUACGGUUCAAAAUGUUUGCCUCUAUGUCUGUACAGAACAAAGCUGCUAUUUUAUUCUUUUUUUUUCUCUUUUGGAUGUUAUAUAUAUAUAUAUACAUAUAUAUAUAUAUGUAUAUAUAUAUAUAUGUAUAUAUAAAAAGAAAUCCUUCAGGUUUGGUAUUUUAUGGUCUCCACUACAGUCCAUUUCUUAUAUCUUCAAACUCUGUUUAAAAACUAAAAAAAAAACUAAAAAAAAUAAAUAAGAUGAUUUAGAUAUAAAAGUUUUUCUGUUACCCCAAAAGGUUUUCUGUAACACUAUAUUUUGUUCAUUGCCUUUUAUUUUUAUGAAAUCUUUCCUCCUGUAUUUGUUUCGUGGAUGUCUAUAUUAUUUUAUUAUUAUUAAUAUUAUUAUUAUUAUUUGGAAUGGACACCUUAGCUCGGCGUGUGAGUGUGUACUUUCUGCACCCUUUUUUGUACUUGUUGUCUAGCACUGCGCCUAGCAUUGCCCUCUAGGUGCAACUCAAUCUCAGGUCAAAGUAAAGGCUUUGCUUUCUCCACACAUUCUCAUGAUCGUCCUCUACUUGUCUCAGCUUGUACCUCCCCGUUUCCUCCCUGUUUCCUCCCCCCCUAUCAUGUUUUGUUGAGUCCAGUAGUGCCCUCUCUCCUCCCCGCUGGCCCCUCACUCACCUCGACAUCAUACUGUACCUGUUUCCCCCCCGGUGCCUCCUUUUGAAGUCAGCGUACGAGAUAUUUACUUUAUACCAGAUCUGGCAUUUUAACCCAUCCGUUUCUUGCCUCUUCUCGAAUCAAUAGGGCUAAUUGGGUUGUCUCGUUUGCCUUAAUUAUGCCAACCAUCUCUCAACCAUUCAAUUGUUUUUCUUCCUUUUUGUAUUACUUCUUCGACACUCUCAAGCGCAAUAUAUAUAUAUAACGCCACUUCUGCUACUUCUUCAUAGUGAGAACAGGUCUUAUUGUUUGUCUUCAUAAUCACUGCUUCUGAAAACCAAAUAAAGGAUGGGUUAAAGUCCAGGGAAGGGAACACAUUUCAAUGUCAUGAAUGGAAAAAAAAAGGUCUUAAAAUGGAGGCUGAAUAGUGAAAAGUGUUUUGAAGGAUUUCUCCUCAUCUUUUUUGGAAAAUGUUCCCUGGUGAUUUUUUUUUUCUCCUCUCUUUGAAGUUUUUUUUUUUUUUUUCUGUAGGAGUGUUAUUUAUUUAUUUUUUUAUUUUUCCUUUUGUGAUAUCAGUUUAAAUCACUGUAUACAUGCCCCAUGAUUCAGUAUAAAGUUGGAUUUUUUUGUAUGUAUUUUCUUUGGUGUCAUGACUGGGGGACUUAAAAAAGGUUGUUUUUUUUCCCUUCAAGUAUAUAAUCUACCUCACUCUUUUUAAAUGUAUGGAAAAACAAGUACAUCUCACUCUCUCAUCAGUUUGUAUAGAAACCUCAUCAUCUGGAUACAACCCCACAGGGAUCUAGAUAAACCUCACAAAGCGGACUAGGUCAGGAGAUGGAAUAUCUGUGUUGGAAGUUCAGCCCACCGAUUUCAAAAAGUAAAAUUAUAUCUCUGAGAAUACAAAGGAGAGGACAUCAGUACAGUGUGCUUUAGUUCUCCGCAGAAUCAGUUUAAAUUGUUGUCUGGUAUUUAGGUGAGAAAAUAUUACAUCAUUUUAUUACACAGCUUUGUUGAAUACUCAGUUCUGAUUGGUCGAUCACAGCGUUUUACGGUCUGUUAUUUCUUUAUAGCAGACCGUUGCUAUGUAUAACAGCCGUUGCUAUGGGCGCAGUUCUGAUGUCGGACUCUGACGGACUGUUUUUGUGUCCAAUUUUUGAUUUCUUAAGUAAGUAGCCGUGUAAUAAGCGGGAUAAUGUACAACUUCAGUGCGAUGCAUGACUCCUCUGUGAAGCCGCAUCGCCCUGUUGGGGUUUAUUUCACAAUGACCAGCUCGCUGUACAUUAUCCCUUACUUGUCAACCUACACUUUAAUUUGAGUGGAUAUAGUGUAACAAGGCUUGGAGCAGGUGCAGUAUAGACCUUUUCAAAUUUGACAACAUUAACAUCCUAAAUGGGUCCCUUUGUAUUUCCUGUUGCGAUGUUUGUUGAUGCAGUAGCUGACAGGAAGUGAUCUUGGACCAAAGCGGUUGCCCUAGCAAUAGAAUGGCAAUGAAAAGGUCUAUAUGAGACCGGGGCACAACAUCAACAUCCGAUAUCCCAUCUCCUCUGACUCCCCAACAUAUUGUCACAACCUUAAAUCCUCAAAACCUUUGAGAAAUCUUCGUUUUCUCAUCUAAAAAUGCAUUUAUACAGAAGUCCGAACAGUUAUCAUGGGGAAUAUUUAAAAAGGGAAAAAAAUGUUUUAUUGACCUCCAAGAAAAAGAAAUGUAUUCGCUGUUUACCUGUAGCCUGUAAUGCUGCGAGGUUACAGCACAACUCAAACAUCCAGAUGUCAUUCAAAAACAUUGCAUUUAGUUAUAUAUAUAUACUGUAUGGAUCAGUGCUGUGAAUGUAACAAGGACAUUUCUGUACACAAAACCUUUGUAGAGAUAGCAGCAACUCCACCUCCAUGUUUCUAUCUUCAGUCCUAAAAAAUGGACACUUUCAAUCAUUUGUCAUCUUUUUUUUUUUUUUUUUUACCCCGUAAACUCUUUGUGUAUACAUGAACGCCAUCACUUCCCCUGUCCAAGUCUACCUGCUGAAUGCCAUGGCGUUCUCGCUGUAGUGAUAGCGAAUUUCCACCACUUUUGGCGUUUUGGAAGUAAACUCAACACGCCUUUUCUGGCCUAUUUGUACUGCUACUUUACACUAAUGCUGCUGGUUUAAACGGUCACCUCAGUGGAUCUUAUAUUGUCAUCAAAAAUGUUGAGCGUGAAGGUGACAAAAGGAGCUUUUACAUCUCAAACUUCAGUUCUGCUCAAAGUGGCGACUUGGAGAGUGCUGUCUCAGUGCAAGGGCUUCUGGGAUGGUAAAAACAAUUCAUGUUGAAAUUAAAACCCAAAAGCAAUAAAAAAAAAAAAAAAAAAAAAUAGGCCAAUGGGUAACUUCUAAUGUGAAAUCUGGGUGCUCAAUUUGGGUUUUUCUUCAGAAUUUAUCUGUGCAUGAUUUAA
Long non-coding RNA from Sebastes umbrosus (honeycomb rockfish), 3976 nucleotides. RefSeq lists it as uncharacterized. The record is from RefSeq and is a predicted model, not a curated record. Lineage: Eukaryota; Metazoa; Chordata; Actinopteri; Perciformes; Sebastidae. The transcript is spliced from 2 exons.